RNAcentral lists this ribosomal RNA (253 nucleotides) under uncultured bacterium. Its description in RNAcentral is "partial 16S ribosomal RNA". It matches the Rfam family "Bacterial small subunit ribosomal RNA", at positions 524 to 776 of the family's 1533-position model. The record is from RNAcentral.
UACGUAGGGUGCGAGCGUUAAUCGGAAUUACUGGGCGUAAAGCGUGCGCAGGCGGUUCGUUAAGUCAGCUGUGAAAGCCCCGGGCUCAACCUGGGAAUUGCGGUUGAAACUGGCGGACUAGAAUCUGGCAGAGGGGGGUGGAAUUCCACGUGUAGCAGUGAAAUGCGUAGAGAUGUGGAGGAACACCGAUGGCGAAGGCAGCCCCCUGGGCUAAGAUUGACGCUCAGGCACGAAAGCGUGGGGAGCAAACAGG